This 253-nucleotide ribosomal RNA is filed under the name uncultured bacterium. RNAcentral describes it as "partial 16S ribosomal RNA". It matches the Rfam family "Bacterial small subunit ribosomal RNA", at positions 524 to 776 of the family's 1533-position model. The record is from RNAcentral.
GACGAACCACACGAACGUUAUACGGAAUUACUGGGCUUAAAGGGUGCGUAGGCGGCGCGGUAAGUAGGGUGUGAAAUCCCUCGGCUCAACCGAGGAACUGCGCUCUAAACUACCGUGCUCGAGGGAGGUAGAGGUGAGCGGAACUUAGGGUGGAGCGGUGAAAUGCGUUGAUAUCCUAAGGAACACCGGUGGCGAAAGCGGCUCACUGGAUCUCUUCUGACGCUGAGGCACGAAAGCUAGGGUAGCGAACGGG